GGCUGGUCCAAGUGCAGUGGCGUUUACACUUAACUGAUCACAGCAAGUUACAGAUUUCUUUGUUCUUUCACUACUCCCACUGCUUCACUUGACCCAAAA
Erinaceus europaeus (western European hedgehog) is the source of this 99-nucleotide unclassified non-coding RNA. It matches the Rfam family "Y RNA". Rfam says of the family: Y RNAs are components of the Ro ribonucleoprotein particle (Ro RNP), in association with Ro60 and La proteins. The Y RNAs and Ro60 and La proteins are well conserved, but the function of the Ro RNP is not known. Lineage: Eukaryota; Metazoa; Chordata; Mammalia; Eulipotyphla; Erinaceidae. The record is from Ensembl.